Molecule: ribosomal RNA, 460 nt
Filed under: uncultured bacterium
Lineage: Bacteria
Description: partial 16S ribosomal RNA
Rfam family: Bacterial small subunit ribosomal RNA
Source: RNAcentral
CCUACGGGUGGCAGCAGUGAGGAAUAUUGGUCAAUGGACGCAAGUCUGAACCAGCAAUGCCGCGUGCAGGAAGACGGCUCUAUGAGUUGUAAACUGCUUUUGUACGAGGGUAAACGCAGGUACGCGUAUCUGUCUGAAAGUAUCGUACGGAUAAGGAUCGGCUAACUCCGUGCCAGCAGCCGCGGUAAUACGGAGGAUUCAAGCGUUAUCCGGAUUUAGUGGGUGUAAAGGGUGCGUAGGCGGUAGGAUAAGUUAGAGGUGAAAUCCCGAGGCUCAACUCCGGAAUUGCAUCUGAUACUGUUAGGCUAGAGUGUAGUUGAGGUAGGCGGAAUGUAUGGUGUAGCGGUGAAAUGCUUAGAGAUUAUACAGAACACCGAUUGCGAAGGCAGCUUACCAAGCUACUUCUGACGUUGAGGCACGAAAGCGUGGGGAGCAAACAGGAUUAGAUACCCCAGUAGUC